RNAcentral lists this ribosomal RNA (467 nucleotides) under uncultured bacterium. RNAcentral describes it as "bacterial SSU rRNA". It matches the Rfam family "Bacterial small subunit ribosomal RNA", at positions 33 to 507 of the family's 1533-position model. The record is from RNAcentral.
AGACGACGCUGGCGGCGUGCUUAAAACAUGCAAGUCGAACGGACUUCUCAUGAAGCUUGCGAUUGAGAAGUUAGUGGCGGACGGGUGAGUAACGCGUGGGCAACCUGCCCCUGAGCCCGGGAUAACAGUUCGAAAGGACUGCUAAGACCGGAUAUACUUGCGGGGGAAGCAUUUCACGUGCAAGGAAAGGGAACGCUCAGGGAUGGGCCCGCGUCCCAUUAGCUAGUUGGUGAGGUAACGGCCCACCAAGGCGACGAUGGGUAGCCGGCCUGAGAGGGUGAACGGCCACACUGGGACUGAGACACGGCCCAGACUCCUACGGGAGGCAGCAGUUGGGAAUCUUCGGCAAUGGGCGCAAGCCUGACCGAGCAACGCCGCGUGAGUGAUGAAGGUUUUCGGAUUGUAAAGCUCUGUCUUCCGGGACGAUAAUGACGGUACCGGAGGAGGAAGCCACGGCUAACUACGUG